Long non-coding RNA from Mastomys coucha (southern multimammate mouse), 1190 nucleotides. RefSeq lists it as uncharacterized. The record is from RefSeq and is a predicted model, not a curated record. NCBI's taxonomy places the organism in Eukaryota, Metazoa, Chordata, Mammalia, Rodentia, Muridae. The transcript has 2 exons.
CAAAGAAUAUUUUACCUGGAAGCUGUCUUCUUACCGCACAAUUCACUCUGGCUCUAGGAAACUCUUCCCAUCGUUACAGUAGAGCAGCUACACUAUGCAGACACCGCUCCUGAAUAACAGAGUUGACCACAUUUUGUGGUGUUGACAGUGAGACAAAGAGAAGUGAAGUACAUUCAUCUGAGGCAGCAGCAUCACCAGAAACCUGGAGUGGAGAAAAUCAAGAAGAUAGUCUUUUAUAUUCAAAGAGAUUCUGUUGUGACUCAUUUGACCUUCUGUGAUUCAUGUACCAUAGUGACUUGCAAUAUUAUUGGGAAACUAACUUGAAUGCUUAUUGUACUGUCUUCCAAGUAUUUCAAUCCAGGCAACAUUUCCUGAGUCAUGACUGUAGGUACUGUCAAAUGUUCCCCCCACCCCACUCAGGACUUCCUUCAGUCUUAAUGGUGAUUGGUGAAAGUCUAUCACCAGACAUGUAAUCUUCCAACAUGUGGUUCACUCCUUGGUAAAAUGUAGAGUGAUUUGUUUUCCAUAAACUGUCAGUAACAAUGCACAUAUCAAUGAUUUCAACAUUGCAGUGAAUCAGCUUGUUAGAUUCUGGGAUACAUAUUAAUAAAAAAAAAAGGAGACUGAUGUCACCCAAAAAAAGUAAAAAAUGAAAGUCAAGGCUAUGGGAGUCAGAGGGUUUUUCAGGAAAAGACUGUGCCUCCAGCUACUCAGGGACUUGAAGUUCGUACAUAGAAGUAUUUCUACCACAGGUUUGAUUGGCAGUGGGGUGAGGCACACUACAUCCUGCAUCAGUCUGAUCAACUCACACUAGUGUGUUAAUGUUGUGAUCUCAGCUUUUCUGCAGCUCAGUUUUCAUGUGUGGUCAGUGGAAGGGAUGGAGCAUUAUCCAGAAUGGUCUAUCAGAUGAGAACUUCUUCCCUGAUUGAGCCCUGGGUGUAGAGAACAGCACAGAGGGCCCUAAAGAUGGCUAUAGAGGAAGCCAAGGCUCUACCUGGUCUGGAUUAUGUAUGGUAACAAAAUGGUGGGAGAAUGCUAUUACCAUAUGGUUAGCAGGUGUCUCUCAUUGUUGGUCUAUGGGGAGUUAAUUUUAUUUCCUUUUCUUUUGCUGUCUUCAUUAAAAUUUUAUUAACGAAUGUAUUUUUCUCACCUGCAUGAAAUAUUAAAUUUAAUAACCUAUUCAUUCCCAA